Triticum aestivum (bread wheat) is the source of this 3347-nucleotide long non-coding RNA. RefSeq lists it as uncharacterized. NCBI's taxonomy places the organism in Eukaryota, Viridiplantae, Streptophyta, Magnoliopsida, Poales, Poaceae. The transcript has 7 exons. The record is from RefSeq and is a predicted model, not a curated record.
GGUCAAUCGAGCGAUCCUUUUGCAUCUUGGCCGCCAUGUCCCCCGCCGUCGACGACGCCCGCUGUGGCGAUCUCCGCCCUGGCGACCAGCUCUGCCUCGCCUGCCAAAUCAAAUCUACGAACUAAGGUUGAUUUCUAUGACUUCAGUUCGCUGGUGGUACUGGCAUAACGCUUAUGUUGCAGGCUUCUCCAGAAUGAUUCCUCAUAAGAGAUAUCUCAACCAGUCAUAAGUUAGCCUGAAGACAUAAGGUGCAGAUAUUCUUCCUUGGUAUAAGAGAUACUUUCAACUAAUCACACGUGCAAUGUUACAUUUGAGUAAGGGAUUACCAUGUUCUCUGAAUUUUCUACCCGACAGAUAUGUUCAACUAUAUUUAGAGUAUUCUGAUAAAGGGUUUACCCCCGCUUUAUAUUAUAGAGCAUCCGGAUAUUUAGAGUAUUAUACAUCUCUAAUCUGCAUAUUUGAGACCAACAUGAUAAUGUUCCAUACUUCUUAAGCCAUUUUGGUGCCACCUAUUGUACCAUCAUUUUUUGCUUCAGGUAUUGUCCUCAUUUCCAAACAAUUCCAUUGUCUUCGCUUCUCUACUCACAUGUGUUUUUUAGUCUUCCUCUCACUCUUUUGAGCUUCUACAGAACUGAUGUCUGACUGCUAUGUUUACCCUUCUGAAUAAUACCCUUGUCAAGUUUUCAGCUUUUAAUGUAAAACUGUAACCAAUUACCGAAAUUUUGGAGUUCUUUUUCACCUUUUCUUGUCCGGUUGUGGAUAAAAAAAACUUAUGCUGAAUCAUUGCGUCUCCAGACGAGCAGUGCAGAUUUGAGAGUUAGGUUAUUUGUCAAAAGUUUUCCGUUUUAUCCAUACAAUAGUAAAAUUAGUUUUACAUAAUUUGAAUGUGUGCUCGCAUGAGCUUGUAAACUUCUCUCGUGUGUCCACACAAGGGCGGAAGGAAGAUUCUUUCUGUGAAGAAACCUAUUUUGUAUGAAGUUGUAGUUGAUUUUGUCGGACUGGGAAGUGAUGGAUGCACCAAGUAGGUGGUCUUUAUUUCUGGGAUUAGAAUUUUCAAAAGGACUGUUUCUUCUCACCUUGAUCUUGUGAUCUAAUGAAAUUUAUUCCUGAUUUUUAUCAGGGACACAACAGUGAAGAUGUUUUUGAAUUUCGUGUUGUAGCUAAAUGGUGAAGUUUUCAUGAAUUCAUGUUAUGAAUUGGUUCUCACUUUUUUUAUCAUAACCUUUUAUUAUCUCAUGAUUUAUUGAUUUUUUUUGUUUUUUCUAUUGAUAUUUCUGUUUGCAAAACGAUUAUUAGAUAUUGGAGAAUUAACGAGGUAUGGCUACUGCCAAGCAUGCUUUCAGAAGUACACGAUUCAAGAGAUUUUCUAUUUUGGCAGAAGUUGGUGUGCCUACUGACAAGUGUGCUCUGAAAAUUAGUCAAUUACUGCACCAGCUGGACUUAUAGAUCGGUUCACAAGGUUCUUUCUGGACAGUAGUAAUGGUUUUAAUACAUUUAAAACAUGUAUGGUUAUUUGAUUCAUGAACAAAACAAAUAUAUUCUCUUUUGAGCUUUGGGCAUUUCACAUAUGACCAUUGUACUGUUGCACUAUUACUACGACCUAUGUGAAAGGUAAAUAAACCUUUCAGCAACAUAUGUUGGUAUAAUUCUCUCCCAACUAGCAUUAUAUGCCAUAUAUAGUUGUUUUUUUUUACCGAAAUGUUAGGAGCCUCGUGUAUAAGGUAUGCAGAAAUUCUCACUUUGGGGUAGUGAUUAAUUCUUCAUGUGCAGUAACCUGGAGAGAUGGUGCUGGUGGAUUCUAGCCGCAAGUCGAAGACAUGCAGUUGCUUGCCGUCGAUGAAGCAACAUCAACAUGGGUAGCUGAUCCAGUCAUCUGUUAGUCUGUUCGUCUUUCUUCCUUGCACUUUGUUCUUCAGUCAUGUGUUGGGCAUCCUUCCCCAUGCUACUGACUCUAUGGUGUCGCUGGCCCAUGCUUCUGACUCUCCAGACAUAUACUCACUUGUUAGAAAUCCCAUGGCAAUUGCUUUCAUGUGAAUUUUGGCCCUUGUCCAGAUGGAGGACUUGGCUUCUUCAGUGAGGAUAAUUCAAUACUGCACUUUGAUUCAAUAGAGUGCGAGCUUCAUUCGGGUUUAAGUGCGUUGCUGCUGGUCGCCUCUUGUGAUUGUGUACAGCUUGCUUCUGACAUAGCCAAGAUUAAAGGAGAGGGGAGUCAUUGCUGAUGGCUUGGAACUUUUUGGUGCAUCAUGCUAUGCGACUAAGGUCACCCUGACAGACACUUGGUGAGAUGUUUGAAGCUGCUCAUAGUAUCAUGACCUAGCUUGGAGACUGUGCCAAGGCUGAAGUUUUCUUUCUUGGGCAACUAAGGCAGAAGAACCUGGUGAAAUUGGUUGGGUAGUGCUACGAGCAUGAACACCGGAUGUUGGUGUACAAAUUCAUGAGCGUUGGGAGCCUUGAGACGCACCUCUUCAAAAGUGAGUUCUUCACUGCUUUCUGUCAAUUGAUCAUUCCAAGUAUUAGUAUGUUUGGUGGUUCCUGAGACCAGCAAGAUAAAGAAAAAUGUUACUCCCUCCAAUACAAAAUAAGUGUCGUGGUUUUAAUUAAAAUUUGAACUAAAACCAUGACACUUACUAUGGAUUUGUAAGAGUAAUUCAGAAUUCUGAGCACGUACGAGUGCCAUCUGGUCCAUUGAUGAUGAACUGUUCUUGUCCCCUGAACUUUCUUUUCCAUAAGUCACAAGUCAAGAGGAUAGCUGAGCUCUCUCUCCCUUCCAAAGGGACUACACUUUCUCUUUUUAAAAUCAGAUGAAUGUAAAUAUUCGAUAUUUACUAAAAAGGGAUACUGGAUAUUUUGGAUUGAAAAUUUACUUGUCCGACCAGCUUCUUGGUACUUGUAAGUUAGUACAACUCUUGGUCAAUGUGGAUGAGGAAACUGACCUGAAACAUCCUAUUUCCUUCACGUAUAAAUGGCUCCCUCCUGCGGAUGAUAAGGAUGAAGAUCGCCGUCAGCCCAAGGGCCUUAACUUUCUCCAUGACGCCAACCUGCCGGUGAUCUACAAGCAGGCCUUCAACAUCUACUGGACUAGCUGCAGGGUCAGUUUGAGCCUUCACGAGCUCGACAUCGGAGCCAGCACUCUACAUGCUUAUCGACGCGGUGGCCAUCGAGGUCAAACUUGUCCGGAAAUACUUGUCGGAGUAAUGGAUGUAUCUAUACGCAUUUUAGUUUUAGACACAUCCAUUUUUAUGCAUUUCUUCGACAUGUACUGUGAUUUGUGAAGACGUGCGUUGCACGUACACGCUAACUAGUCAAUGAAAAUGGCAAGUCUUUUGCCUUGUUUUAAAAAAACUAAA